This 73-nucleotide transfer RNA is filed under the name Otophryne steyermarki. RNAcentral describes it as "tRNA-Asn". It matches the Rfam family "tRNA". From Rfam's summary of the family: Transfer RNA (tRNA) molecules are approximately 80 nucleotides in length. Their secondary structure includes four short double-helical elements and three loops (D, anti-codon, and T loops). The record is from RNAcentral. Lineage: Eukaryota; Metazoa; Chordata; Amphibia; Anura; Microhylidae.
UAGAAUGAAGCUAGUAGGAUAAAGCAUUUAGCUGUUAACUAAAAUAUUAUGGGAUCAAAGCCCAUCAUUCUAG